RNAcentral lists this ribosomal RNA (496 nucleotides) under uncultured bacterium. RNAcentral's name for it is "partial 16S ribosomal RNA". It matches the Rfam family "Bacterial small subunit ribosomal RNA", at positions 28 to 507 of the family's 1533-position model. The record is from RNAcentral.
GAUGAACGCUGGCGGCGUGCCUAAUACAUGCAAGUCGAGCGAACGGACGAGAAGCUUGCUUCUCUGAUGUUAGCGGCGGACGGGUGAGUAACACGUGGAUAACCUACCUAUAAGACUGGGAUAACUUCGGGAAACCGGAGCUAAUACCGGAUGAUAUUUUGAACCGCAUGGUUCAAAAGUGAAAGACGGUCUUGCUGUCACUUAUAGAUGGAUCCGCGCUGCAUUAGCUAGUUGGUAAGGAAACGGCUUACCAAGGCAACGAUGCAUAGCCGACCUGAGAGGGUGAUCGGCCACACUGGAACUGAGACACGGUCCAGACUCCUACGGGAGGCAGCAGUAGGGAAUCUUCCGCAAUGGCGAAAGCCUGACGGAGCAACGCCGCGUGAGUGAUGAAGGUCUUCGGAUCGUAAAACUCUGUUAUUAGGGAAGAACAUAUGUGUAAGUAACUGUGCACAUCUUGACGGUACCUAAUCAGAAAGCCACGGCUAACUACGUG